Nycticebus coucang (slow loris) is the source of this 158-nucleotide small nuclear RNA. RefSeq annotates it as U1 spliceosomal RNA. The transcript has a single exon. NCBI's taxonomy places the organism in Eukaryota, Metazoa, Chordata, Mammalia, Primates, Lorisidae. The record is from RefSeq and is a predicted model, not a curated record.
AUACUCACCUGGCAGGGGAGCUACCAUGAUCACAAAGAGGGUUUUUCAGGGUGAGGCUAAUGGACUCUGGAUGAGCUCACCCCUGCAUUUUCCCCAAAUGUGGGAAAUUUGACAACAUAAUUUGUGGUAGCAGGGGACUGCGUUUAUGCUUUCCUCUA